This is a non-coding RNA of Mycena filopes, 96 nucleotides long. The record is from the annotation of a GenBank genome assembly. NCBI's taxonomy places the organism in Eukaryota, Fungi, Basidiomycota, Agaricomycetes, Agaricales, Mycenaceae.
GACCUGAUGGUGAAUGGUUCACACCACUUUGUUUGAGCCUAGAGCUUGGAAUCUGUUGAACAGUGGGAGUCCCCGGUUCGACUCCGGGUCAGGUCG